RNAcentral lists this ribosomal RNA (340 nucleotides) under uncultured Anaerolineaceae bacterium. RNAcentral describes it as "bacterial SSU rRNA". It matches the Rfam family "Bacterial small subunit ribosomal RNA", at positions 1028 to 1382 of the family's 1533-position model. Lineage: Bacteria; Bacillati; Chloroflexota; Anaerolineae; Anaerolineales; Anaerolineaceae. The record is from RNAcentral.
GCCUAUACAGGUGUUGCAUGGCUGUCGUCAGCUCGUGUCGUGAGAUGUUCGGUUAAGUCCGCUAACGAGCGCAACCCUCGUCGUAUGUUAUAUGUGUCAUACGAGACUGCCGGUAAAAAGCCGGAGGAAGGUGAGGAUGAUGUCAAGUCAGCAUGACCUUUAUAUCCAGGGCUACACACACGCUACAAUGGUCUGUACAAUGGGUAGCCAAGCCGCGAGGCGGAGCCAAUCCUGAAAGCAGGCCUCAGUUCAGAUUGCAGUCUGCAACUCGACUGCAUGAAGCCGGAGUUGCUAGUAACCGCAGGUCAGCAAUACUGCGGUGAAUACGUUCCCGGGUCUU